This 465-nucleotide ribosomal RNA is filed under the name uncultured bacterium. RNAcentral's name for it is "partial 16S ribosomal RNA". It matches the Rfam family "Bacterial small subunit ribosomal RNA", at positions 28 to 507 of the family's 1533-position model. The record is from RNAcentral.
GACGAACGCUGGCGGCGUGCUUAACACAUGCAAGUCGAACGGAAAGGCCCUGCUUGCAGGGUACUCGAGUGGCGAACGGGUGAGUAACACGUGGGUGAUCUGCCCUGCACUUCGGGAUAAGCCUGGGAAACUGGGUCUAAUACCGGAUAUGACCUUCCAUGUAGUGUGGGGGGUGGAAAGAUUUAUCGGUGUGGGAUGAGCCCGCGGCCUAUCAGCUUGUUGGUGGGGUAAUGGCCUACCAAGGCGUCGACGGGUAGCCGGCCUGUGAGGGUGGACGGCCACAUUGGGACUGAGAUACGGCCCAGACUCCUACGGGAGGCAGCAGUGGGGAAUAUUGCACAAUGGGCGGAAGCCUGAUGCAGCGACGCCGCGUGGGGGAUGACGGCCUUCGGGUUGUAAACCUCUUUCGACAGGGACGAAGCUUCGGUGACGGUACCUGUAGAAGAAGCACCGGCUAACUACGUG